This 531-nucleotide ribosomal RNA is filed under the name Diaporthe melonis var. brevistylospora. RNAcentral's name for it is "eukaryotic LSU rRNA". It matches the Rfam family "Eukaryotic large subunit ribosomal RNA", at positions 87 to 642 of the family's 3401-position model. The record is from RNAcentral. Lineage: Eukaryota; Fungi; Ascomycota; Sordariomycetes; Diaporthales; Diaporthaceae.
CGGCGAGUGAAGCGGCAACAGCUCAAAUUUGAAAUCUGGCCUCGGCCCGAGUUGUAAUUUGCAGAGGAUGCUUCUGGCGCGGUGCCUUCCGAGUUCCCUGGAACGGGACGCCACAGAGGGUGAGAGCCCCGUAUGGUCGGACACCAAGCCUGUGUGAAGCUCCUUCGACGAGUCGAGUAGUUUGGGAAUGCUGCUCUAAAUGGGAGGUAAAUCUCUUCUAAAGCUAAAUACCGGCCAGAGACCGAUAGCGCACAAGUAGAGUGAUCGAAAGAUGAAAAGCACCUUGAAAAGGGGGUUAAAUAGUACGUGAAAUUGUUGAAAGGGAAGCACUUGUGACCAGACUUGGGCCGGGCGGCUCAUCAGGGGUUCUCCCCUGUGCACUCCGCCCGGCACAGGCCAGCAUCGGUUCUCGUGGGGGGAUAAGACCGUCAGGAACGUAGCACCCUCCGGGGUGUGUUAUAGCCUGGCGGACGAUACCCCCGUGGGCGACCGAGGUUCGCUCCGCAAGGAUGCUGGCGAAUAAUGGUCACC